GUCAGUCAGCUGGGAAUAGCCAGAUCAUAAAAUUAAAGGCUUCUGGUGUGGGCAGCUGUAAAUGCUGAUUCUGAAGAAAGCAGACCGGCAGAGCAAGACCCCUCAUCAGUCCAAAAAAAAGAUGAUUUACCAAGUGUCCAGAGCAGGCUGAGGGUGACCAGCUCCGGAAGCUUCCAUGAUGCCAAAUACCUUCUCAAUGACUUCUUUUGUGUACUUUCUUCUAUUUUUAUUAAACUUUUACUGGAA
Bubalus bubalis (water buffalo) is the source of this 246-nucleotide long non-coding RNA. RefSeq lists it as uncharacterized. The transcript is spliced from 2 exons. Lineage: Eukaryota; Metazoa; Chordata; Mammalia; Artiodactyla; Bovidae. The record is from RefSeq and is a predicted model, not a curated record.